GAUGAACGCUGGCGGCGUGCCUAAUACAUGCAAGUCGAGCGAACGGACGAGAAGCUUGCUUCUCUGAUGUUAGCGGCGGACGGGUGAGUAACACGUGGAUAACCUACCUAUAAGACUGGGAUAACUUCGGGAAACCGGAGCUAAUACCGGAUAAUAUUUUGAACCGCAUGGUUCAAAAGUGAAAGACGGUCUUGCUGUCACUUAUAGAUGGAUCCGCGCUGCAUUAGCUAGUUGGUAAGGUAACGGCUUACCAAGGCAACGAUGCAUAGCCGACCUGAGAGGGGGAGCGGCCACCCUGGAACGGAGACACGGUCCAGACUCCUACGGGAGGCAGCAGUAGGGAAUCUUCCGCAAUGGGCGAAAGCCUGACGGAGCAACGCCGCGUGAGUGAUGAAGGUCUUCGGAUCGUAAAACUCUGUUAUUAGGGAAGAACAUAUGUGUAAGUAACUGUGCACAUCUUGACGGUACCUAAUAAGAAAACCACGGCUAACUACGUG
This 497-nucleotide ribosomal RNA is filed under the name uncultured bacterium. Its description in RNAcentral is "partial 16S ribosomal RNA". It matches the Rfam family "Bacterial small subunit ribosomal RNA", at positions 28 to 507 of the family's 1533-position model. The record is from RNAcentral.